AACUAUCAAAACACACCUGAAUUCUUGGGGGUGUUUUGGACUUUGGGAGUGUUUUGCUGGUCUCCUUUGAGCCCAGCUCUCCUCAAAAGCAUUAUCUUUGGAGACUGUCAGCAUGAUAACUUUGUUUGAGCUGAGUCUCUAAUGUAUAUAUAUAUAUAUAUGCCCC
This 166-nucleotide unclassified non-coding RNA is filed under the name uncultured Amanita. RNAcentral's name for it is "sequence contains ITS2". Lineage: Eukaryota; Fungi; Basidiomycota; Agaricomycetes; Agaricales; Amanitaceae. The record is from RNAcentral.